CCAGACUCCUACGGGAGGCAGCAGUGGGGGAUAUUGCACAAUGGGGGGAACCCUGAUGCAGCGACGCCGCGUGGGUGAAGAAGCGCCUCGGCGCGUAAAGCCCUGUCAGCAGGGAAGAAAAUGACGGUACCUGAAGAAGAAGCCCCGGCUAACUACGUGCCAGCAGCCGCGGUAAUACGUAGGGGGCAAGCGUUAUCCGGAUUUACUGGGCGUAAAGGGUGCGUAGGCGGUCUUUCAAGUCAGGAGUGAAAGGCUACGGCUCAACCGUAGUAAGCUCUUGAAACUGGGAGACUUGAGUGCAGGAGAGGAGAGUGGAAUUCCUAGUGUAGCGGUGAAAUGCGUAGAUAUUAGGAGGAACACCAGUUGCGAAGGCGGCUCUCUGGACUGUAACUGACGCUGAGGCACGAAAGCGUGGGGAGCAAACAGGAUUAGAUACCCGAGUAGG
Molecule: ribosomal RNA, 445 nt
Filed under: uncultured bacterium
Lineage: Bacteria
Description: bacterial SSU rRNA
Rfam family: Bacterial small subunit ribosomal RNA
Source: RNAcentral